RNAcentral lists this ribosomal RNA (502 nucleotides) under uncultured bacterium. Its description in RNAcentral is "partial 16S ribosomal RNA". It matches the Rfam family "Bacterial small subunit ribosomal RNA", at positions 28 to 507 of the family's 1533-position model. The record is from RNAcentral.
GACGAACGCUGGCGGCGUGCCUAAUACAUGCAAGUCGAACGAACCGCGACUAGGUGCUUGCACUUGGUCAAGGUGAGUGGCGAACGGGUGAGUAACACGUGGGUAACCUACCUCAUAGUGGGGGAUAACAGUCGGAAACGACUGCUAAUACCGCAUAGGACAUGGGAUCACAUGAUUCUGUGAGGAAAGGUGGCGCAAGCUAUCGCUAAGAGAUGGACCCGCGGUGCAUUAGCUAGUUGGUAGGGUAACGGCCUACCAAGGCGAUGAUGCAUAGCCGACCUGAGAGGGUGAUCGGCCACAUUGGGACUGAGACACGGACCAAACUCCUACGGGAGGCAGCAGUAGGGAAUCUUCCGCAAUGGACGCAAGUCUGACGGAGCAACGCCGCGUGAGUGAAGAAGGUCUUCGGAUCGUAAAGCUCUGUUGUUAGAGAAGAACAGCGCAUAGAGUAACUGUUAUGCGUGUGACGGUAUCUAACCAGAAAGCCACGGCUAACUACGUG